This 692-nucleotide ribosomal RNA is filed under the name uncultured bacterium. RNAcentral describes it as "bacterial SSU rRNA". It matches the Rfam family "Bacterial small subunit ribosomal RNA", at positions 32 to 715 of the family's 1533-position model. The record is from RNAcentral.
AACGCUAGCUACAGGCUUAACACAUGCAAGUCGAGGGGCAGCAUGAAGGCAGCAAUGUCUUUGAUGGCGACCGGCGCACGGGUGAGUAACGCGUAUCCGACCUGCCGCAGACACGGGGACAGCCUUGCGAAAGCAGGGAUAACCCCCGAUGAUCUCGUUCCAACGCAUUAGGGAAUGAGCAAAGGAUUAAUCGGUCUGCGAUGGGGAUGCGUUCCAUUAGAUAGUCGGCGGGGUAACGGCCCACCGAGUCGACGAUGGAUAGGGGUUCUGAGAGGAAGGUCCCCCACAUUGGAACUGAGACACGGUCCAAACUCCUACGGGAGGCAGCAGUGAGGAAUAUUGGUCAAUGGGCGCGAGCCUGAACCAGCCAAGUAGCGUGAGGGACGACUGCCCUAUGGGUUGUAAACCUCUUUUAUAUGAGAGUAAUGUGCGCUACGUGUAGCGUAUUGCAAGUAUCAUAUGAAUAAGCAUCGGCUAACUCCGUGCCAGCAGCCGCGGUAAUACGGAGGAUGCGAGCGUUAUCCGGAUUUAUUGGGUUUAAAGGGAGCGUAGGCGGGAUAUUAAGUCAGUCGUCAAAGCCUGUGGCUCAACCACAGCCCGCGAUUAAUACUGGUAACCUUGAGUGCGGAUGAGGUGGAUGGAAUUCGUGGUGUAGCGGUGAAAUGCUUAGAUAUCACGAAGAACUCCGAUUG